This is a non-coding RNA of Triticum urartu, 726 nucleotides long. Lineage: Eukaryota; Viridiplantae; Streptophyta; Magnoliopsida; Poales; Poaceae. The record is from RefSeq and is a predicted model, not a curated record.
UUACUAUAUUGCCUUCCAGUUUAUCCUAAAGUAUUUUAGCCUAAAUUUCUUGUCAUUUAGAUAGAUGUGGGUUAUGCUAAUCUGACUGGUGGGUUAUGCUAAUCUGACUGGUAAGUAUGGUAUUGUAGCUACUGUACAUGUCCCUCAAUUUCCCAGUUCCAUGUGUCAGGAUGCUAAUAUGGGUGUUACUAUAUUGCCUUCCAUUUUGUAAUAUGUUAUGUUUGCAAUUUCUCAGGGCCGCCGCCGCCGUCGUCCGUAGCAACGCAUAGGCCGCUUGCCCAGCUCCCUCAUUCCGAGCACGACACCGGACGUCGGAGCUUGUCGGGAGGCACGGAAGGACGAACAGAGUUCUACCGGUGAUCUGUGUUGUCGCUGACGGUGUCAUAGGAUCUGCGGUGCACGUGGACAAGGCAAUGGGGCUGCCAACCUACCUCCUCUUCACCACAGCGCAUGUGGAUUCUUGGGCUACCUCAACUUGGAUCAGCUUUUUCAAGAGGGAAUGCUUGCCAUUCAGAGACGGGCGUUUCGCAGAGUGUUCAGAAUAAUACUUUGCAAGGGACAGCAGCGCGAUGUCAAGCAGCAGCAGCAGCAGGUUCUGCAGCUUCGACGACCCUGUGAUGAUUUUUGCAGAACCACAUGCCGAUGGUGCACUUGCCUUUGGAAUUAAAGAUCAGCUUACUACACUAACCAGAUAUCAUAUAUAAAUACUCUACUCUACACCAGUAU